UCACAGGAGAGCCAUUUAGAGUUU
This 24-nucleotide microRNA is filed under the name Bombyx mori (domestic silkworm). RNAcentral describes it as "bmo-miR-3264". Lineage: Eukaryota; Metazoa; Arthropoda; Insecta; Lepidoptera; Bombycidae. The record is from miRBase by way of RNAcentral.